Molecule: ribosomal RNA, 499 nt
Filed under: uncultured Glomeromycotina
Lineage: Eukaryota; Fungi; Glomeromycota
Description: partial small subunit ribosomal RNA
Rfam family: Eukaryotic small subunit ribosomal RNA
Source: RNAcentral
CCAAUAGCGUAUAUUAAAGUUGUUGCAGUUAAAAAGCUCGUAGUUGAAUUUCGAGAUCAAAUUGUUGGUCGUGCCUUGGUACGCACUGGCAUUAUUGGUUUCUCCCUUCUGACGAACCUUGAUGUCAUUAAUUUGGUGUCUUGGGAAAUCAGGACUGUUACUUUGAAAAAAUUAGAGUGUUUAAAGCAGGCUCACGCUUGAAUACAUUAGCAUGGAAUAAUGCAAUAGGACGUUUGAUUCUAUUUUGUUGGUUUCUAGGAUCGACGUAAUGAUUAAUAGGGAUAGUUGGGGGCAUUAGUAUUCAAUUGUCAGAGGUGAAAUUCUUGGAUUUAUUGAAGACUAACUACUGCGAAAGCAUUUGCCAAGGAUGUUUUCAUUAAUCAAGAACGAAAGUUAGGGGAUCGAAGACGAUCAGAUACCGUCGUAGUCUUAACCAUAAACUAUGCCGACUAGGGAUCGGAUGAUGUUAAUUUUUUAAUGACUCAUUCGGCGCCUUACG